GGGGGUGUAGCUUAGCGGCUUAAAGUAGUCGCCUGUCGAGCGAAAGACUGUGGGUAUUGCCUGCGGCAACGCUACCGCGAACAAAUCCCAUCAUCCCCG
This 99-nucleotide transfer RNA is filed under the name Leptolyngbya sp. 'hensonii'. It matches the Rfam family "tRNA". Rfam says of the family: Transfer RNA (tRNA) molecules are approximately 80 nucleotides in length. Their secondary structure includes four short double-helical elements and three loops (D, anti-codon, and T loops). Lineage: Bacteria; Bacillati; Cyanobacteriota; Cyanophyceae; Leptolyngbyales; Leptolyngbyaceae. The record is from Rfam by way of RNAcentral.